RNAcentral lists this ribosomal RNA (408 nucleotides) under uncultured bacterium. RNAcentral's name for it is "partial 16S ribosomal RNA". It matches the Rfam family "Bacterial small subunit ribosomal RNA", at positions 28 to 526 of the family's 1533-position model. The record is from RNAcentral.
GACGAACGCUGGCGGCGUGCUUAACACAUGCAAGUCGAACGGAGUGGCGAACGGGUGAGUAACACGUGGGUUACCCCCCCUGCUCUUCGGGAUAAGCCUGGGAAACUGGGUUUACUCCCGGUUAGUGGGGGAUGGGCCCGCGGCCUAUCAGCUUGUUGGUGGGGUAAUGGCCUACCAAGGCGGCGACGGGUAGCCGGCCUGAGAGGGUGGACGGUCACAUUGGGACUGAGACACGGCCCAGACUCCUACGGGAGGCAGCAGUGGGGAAUAUUGCACAAUGGGCGGAAGCCUGAUGCAGCAACGCCGCGUGGGGGAUGACGGCCUUCGGGUUGUAAACCGCUUUCACCCACGACGCGGUAGAUGGAGAAGAAGCACCGGCUAACUACGUGCCAGCAGCCGCGGUAAUAC